UAGAUGGAUCCGCGCUGCAUUAUGUAGUUGGUAAGGUAACGGCUUACCAAGGCAACGAUGCAUAACCGACCUGAGAGGGUGAUCGGCCACACUGGAACUGAGACACGGUCCAGACUCCUACGGGAGGCAACAGUAGGGAAUCUUCCGCAAUGGGCGAAAGCCUGACGGAGCAACGCCGCGUGAGUGAUGAAGGUCUUCGGAUCGUAAAACUCUGUUAUUAGGGAAGAACAUAUGUGUAAGUAACUGUGCACAUCUUGACGGUACCUAAUCAGAAAGCCACGGCUAACUACGUGCCAGCAGCCGCGGUAAUACGUAGGUGGCAAGCGUUAUCCGGAAUUAUUGGGCGUAAAGCGCGCGUAGGCGGUUUUUUAAGUCUGAUGUGAAAGCCCACGGCUCAACCGUGGAGGGUCAUUGGAAACUGGAAAACUUGAGUGCAGAAGAGGAAAGUGGAAUUCCAUGUGUAGCGGUGAAAUGCGCAGAGAUAUGGAGGAACACCAGUGGCGAACGCGACUUUCUGGUCUGUAACUGACGCUGAUGUGCGAAAGCGUGAGGAUCACACACGAUUAGAUACUCUGGUAGUCCACGCCGUAUACGAUGAGUGCUAACUGUUAUGGGGGUUUCCUCCCCCUAAUGCUGCAGCUAACGCAUUAAUCACUCGGCCUGCCGAGUACGACCGCACG
RNAcentral lists this ribosomal RNA (680 nucleotides) under Staphylococcus simiae. RNAcentral's name for it is "bacterial SSU rRNA". It matches the Rfam family "Bacterial small subunit ribosomal RNA", at positions 222 to 892 of the family's 1533-position model. Lineage: Bacteria; Bacillati; Bacillota; Bacilli; Caryophanales; Staphylococcaceae. The record is from RNAcentral.